This 425-nucleotide ribosomal RNA is filed under the name uncultured bacterium. RNAcentral describes it as "partial 16S ribosomal RNA". It matches the Rfam family "Bacterial small subunit ribosomal RNA", at positions 354 to 796 of the family's 1533-position model. The record is from RNAcentral.
GUGGGGAAUAUUGGACAAUGGGCGCAAGCCUGAUCCAGCAAUGCCGCGUGGGUGAAGAAGGUCUUCGGAUCGUAAAGCCCUUUCGACAGGGACGAUGAUGACGGUACCUGUAGAAGAAGCCCCGGCUAACUUCGUGCCAGCAGCCGCGGUAAUACGAAGGGGGCUAGCGUUACUCGGAAUUACUGGGCGUAAAGGGCGCGUAGGCGGCUCUGUUAGUCAGGCGUGAAAUUCCUGGGCUUAACCUGGGGACUGCGCUUGAUACUGCAGGGCUUGAGGCCGAGAGAGGGUGGUGGAAGUCCCAGUGUAGAGGUGAAAUUCGUAGAUAUUAGGAGGAACACCAGUGGCGAAGGCGAAUUGCUGGACAGUAACUGACGCUGAGGCGCGAAAGCGUGGGGAGCAAACAGGAUUAGAUACCCUUGUAGUCC